AGGGAACCGGGUGAAAGGCCCGGACUGCCCCCGCAACUGUAAGCGAAGAGCGCCAAGGAUCAUCCCACUGGCAACCCUGCCGGGAAGGGCCGAGGCGCGAUGAGACGCAAGUCAGGAGACCU
RNAcentral lists this non-coding RNA (122 nucleotides) under Pseudooceanicola marinus. The record is from RNAcentral. Lineage: Bacteria; Pseudomonadati; Pseudomonadota; Alphaproteobacteria; Rhodobacterales; Paracoccaceae.